UCAUAGUAAUCAACUUGAGAAGCAUCCAACCCAGCAUUUGCAAUCGUUUUAGGUAUAGCCAAUGCUGGAGAAGUUGUAAAUAACUCUGGUGCCUGAGCAGCGUCAGCAUAUCCUCUGAUCUUUGCAAUCACUUGCAAUCCAAGCUUAAGAGCAGUCUCUCCACUCACCAGAAUUACAGCAGCAGCACCAUCACUUAUGCUAGAGGCGUUGCCAGCAGUAACUGUGCCUCCAUUCUCUUUGAAACUUGGUCGGAGCUUCCUUAGUUUUACAGGGUCAAACUUCCCUAAGCCUUCAUCCUUGUCAACAAUUGUCAAAGGUUUUCCCCUUCCCCCAGAAACUUCAACCGGAACAAUUUCCCAUGCAAAGGCACCACU
Molecule: unclassified non-coding RNA, 374 nt
Filed under: Hevea brasiliensis (rubber tree)
Lineage: Eukaryota; Viridiplantae; Streptophyta; Magnoliopsida; Malpighiales; Euphorbiaceae
Source: RNAcentral